CACGUAGGGUGCAAGCGUUGUCCGGAAUUAUUGGGCGUAAAGGGCUCGUAGGCGGUCCGUCACGUCGGGAGUGAAAACUCGGGGCUCAACCCCGAGCCUGCUUUCGAUACGGGCGGACUAGAGGUAGGUAGGGGAGAACGGAAUUCCUGGUGUAGCGGUGGAAUGCGCAGAUAUCAGGAGGAACACCGGUGGCGAAGGCGGUUCUCUGGGCCGAUACUGACGCUGAGGAGCGAAAGCGUGGGGAGCGAACAGG
This 253-nucleotide ribosomal RNA is filed under the name uncultured bacterium. Its description in RNAcentral is "partial 16S ribosomal RNA". It matches the Rfam family "Bacterial small subunit ribosomal RNA", at positions 524 to 776 of the family's 1533-position model. The record is from RNAcentral.